CAGCCGCCGCGGGAAUACGUAGGUGGCAAGCGUUGUCCGGAAUUAUUGGGCAUAAAGGGCUCGCAGGCGGUUUCUUAAGUCUGAUGUGAAAGCCCCCGGCUCAACCGGGGAGGGUCAUUGGAAACUGGGAAACUUGAGUGCAGAAGAGGAGAGUGGAAUUCCAUGUGCAGCGGUGAAAUGCGUAGAGAUGUGGAGGAACACCAGUAGCGAAGGCGACUCUCUGGUCUGUAACUGACGCUGAGGAGCGAAAGCGUGGGGAGCGAACAGGAUUAGAUACCCGCGUAGUCCCUGUCUCUUAUAC
This 301-nucleotide ribosomal RNA is filed under the name uncultured bacterium. RNAcentral describes it as "partial 16S ribosomal RNA". It matches the Rfam family "Bacterial small subunit ribosomal RNA", at positions 509 to 807 of the family's 1533-position model. The record is from RNAcentral.